RNAcentral lists this long non-coding RNA (9923 nucleotides) under Triticum aestivum (bread wheat). RNAcentral describes it as "long non-coding RNA (TAES_LNC004197)". Lineage: Eukaryota; Viridiplantae; Streptophyta; Magnoliopsida; Poales; Poaceae. The record is from RNAcentral.
AAAUAAACUCUGAUAUAAGGGAGGAGAUCUGCCUCGGGUGAAUCCAUGAGCAGCUAUCGAUAGGGAUUCAGCUUGUUAUUUCUCUUUAUAGUCGCUGUUUAUCUUGUGCCAGAAAAUCAGAUGUCAUUUUUUUCUUCCUUGAGUGUUUCUUCGGGGUUUACAGUGUUAGAAUGGCAUGGUCACUGGGAUGUGUCAUUCCUUUGCUCCAUUGUCACAGCUUGUAGCUAAUGUCUGUUGUUGCAUCUUUAUCAUGUUACUGGUGUUCAUCCUGUUGGUUAUACAUGUGGCUUCAGAUACUAAGAUUAUCUUAGCAAUCUACAUAUUCUGCAAUUCAGCAUUUCUUUGCGUGUGAAUACUGAAUAUAAUUUGUUGUGAAAUCUGCUUCUGAGACGAAUGCAAUUGGGACAUGGCUGUUGUGUAAACUCAAUAUUUCUUCGCCAGGAAAAAACGUGUGGUUCCUUUAAGAAGGAAAAAAAACUCAUGGUAUCCUAUAUAUCAUAGCAGUGCAGUUAAUUGAGCACAUAAUCUCUAUGCAGUUUAUAUUUUUGAGGCGUUUUAGGCAUAUUUAUACCACUCUUGCCCAAACUUUGGCUGGCUUGUGCUCUUUAGUGCUUGGGCUGUAGGUCACUGUGGUUAUUAGCUGACCAGGACUCUCAUUAUUGACUCUGUCAGGUUUUGGUGUUUCUACUUGAGUUUGUUCCCUCAUUGCAAGGUUGACUCCACCAUGCCUUGUCUUAACAUAUUUGUGUUUUUGAGGGUGAAAGCUGACGGAGCUGAGAUUGAGAUUGAGAUACCAAAGGUCAAUCGGCAAGAUGCAUGCUUCAAGUAGCUAUUAUCACUGGAACUUGGUAGUAUCUGGGAACACUCCAGGUAAGGAUUUUGUAUUCAGUGAUCUCUCUAACUCUUGAUGAAUGAGCACAAUGGUAGAGAUUGAAGGAAGAGAUCCAACAACUGACAGGGUCAGUUUCUUCCUGCAAUGUGUUCUCAUGCAAGUUCCAAGUCAGAUAUUUUUUCCUGGAACAAUGCUCUGAUAACUAAAUCGGUGCAGGGAACUCAAAGCCAUCUCCUUUGGUGUUUGCAUUCACCUGAAUUCUCAAAUUUAUCCCGGAUCUCUCGCAUUUUAAGGUGUGUAUUAUGGAGGCGCACUCGCGUGGAUGUGUCCGUGGCCGUGUGACACACGUACGUGAUACAUGCCAAAAUGUCGCCGAGGUGUCGGUGGACCUUGAUGAUGAAGAUGGUUCUGCCAAAGAGGUCAGUAUCCAGAUAUGUGACUCUGAGUGAUCAGCUGGCUGGUUGUCCCAUCGAAAAUGAGGUACACGUUUGCUUUGCGCUAUCAGCACGUCUCGUUUUCAGGCCUUUGUCCAGAAUAUUCCAGUACAAUGCAUUUGUUUUUGCUUCAGUCUUUUGCUUUUUCCUGGAUUCCAGUUUCAUUGGUAUGCUGCGCGCAGACUGUGAGGUUUUGGUGUAGUUAUUAUGAUUGUGCGUGUCGUCCAUUCAUUCACGGUUGAUUUACCUCACGGUUGAUUUACCACACAUUGUCUCACACUUUUGUUUGUUUCAUUUAUAUGACAAGUGAGGCGAGAGGUUGAUGAGGCUGUGAUUGAGAAACCAGAGGUCAAUCCGUGAUAAGAUCUAUGCUUGAAGUAGUUAUUAUAACUGGAAACAUGGCAUCUGGGAACAGACACUCACUCAGGUAAGCAGACGGUAGUAUUCAGUAACCUCCCUUCUGAAUUCACUUGGAAAAAACAAACCUCACUUCAGGUUGAAAGGUUGCGGAUUGCUCCUGAGAAACGAUCCUGGGUUGGCGCAUGGGAACUGAAAACCACGGGAUUCAAAUCUUGGUGCUCGCUUUUACCUGAAUCUACCUCAGAUCCUUUGCUAGUAGGGGACAUACUCGUGUGGCGUGCCUCAGGCGUUCUAGUACAUGCCAAGAUUCCACCAAGUUACCGGUGAAUGAUUGGUACGGACAUCUGCCUUGAUGACGAUUCGACCAAGAGGCUGGCUGGUAAUGCUAAGCAAUCGAUGGCCAGAUAGCCGGUUGUUCCAUCAAAAAACGCGAACAUGCUUGCUUGGCGACAUUGAGGUGUCAUUUCCACCGUUCGUCGUACGCCCUUGUCCACGAUAUUCCAAACCAUCCCUAUUUUGUUUCCUUUGUUCUUCUUGUGAAAUGGAUGUUUGAGCUGUCAAAUGUGAUGAGGGAGAAGAUCCGCCUUGGGUGAAUCCAUGAGCAGCUAUCGAUAGGAUUCAGCUUGUUGUUUCUCUUUAUAGUUGCUAUUUAUCUUAUGCCAGAAAAUCAGAUGUCAUUUAUUUCUUCCUUGAGCAUUUCUUUGGGGUUUACAGUGUUACAAUGGCAUGGUCACUGGGACGUGUCAUUCCUUUGCUCCAUUGUCACAGCUUUGUAGCCAAUGUCUGUUGUUGCAUCUUUAUCAUGUUACUGGUGUUCAUCCUGUUGGUUAUACAUGUGGCUUCAGUUACUAAGAUUAUUUUAGCAAUCUACUCCCUCUGUAAACUUUUAUAAGACGUUUUAGGUCACUUAGUGCCCAUAGAGGGAGUACAUAUUAGCCAAUUCAGCAUUUCUUUGCUUGUGUAAUUUGUUGUGAAAUCUGCUUCUGAGAUGAAUGCAAUUGGGACAUGGCUGUUGUGUAAACUUGGACAAACGGACAAUUUAACCCCAUUUCCUUGUAUUCCUGGGUAGUCAGCUCAAUCAACUCACUAUUUCGGUGGCGGGGAGGGGAGAGCGCCUACCGCCUAUCCAACGCCCGGGUUUGCAGUGUUUUUUUCUUUUUUCGAAACGAAGGCAAAAGCUAAGAAGGGUAACAGAAGUUUAUGACGAGGUCAUUACUCCUCAACAAAUGAGACUAAAGCCUACUCUCGCGGCAUAAUAGAGCCCAGGUGCCUAGCACCGGCGGUCACCCAUAACUUAGCCUCGUUCCGAACAUGCGCGAAGACGAUGGAAGGCAGUGUAGACUUCUUGCGAAAAACCCGUGCAUUCCUCUCGUUCCACAGUGCCCACGCCACAAGCAUGAGUGUGGUGGCAAUAGCUUUCUUCCUGUGACCAUGAGUAAGCACCACGGCAUACCACCAAUCUUGCACCGAAGGCAGGCCACCCCAUUGGUCAAGACGCAACUCCUACGCACCCAGCCACGUCUUUACGGCCUCCCACACACGGAUGGAGUACCUACACUUGAAGAGAAGGUGCGCCCUAGACUCCGGCUCCCUUUGACACAGCUGGCAUAGGCCACAGUUUGGCCAACCCCUCUUCUGCAAUCGAUCCGCGGUCCAAAUCCUAUUCUUGAUGACAAGCCAAGCAAAAAACUUGCACUUGGGCGGCGCCCAGUUAUCCCAGACCGCGGGCUUCAUGCGUGUGGUGAUGGCUCCCUCAAAUUGCGUGAGAUAGGCAGAAGCAGCGGAGUAAGAGCCAUUUGGCGUGCGAUCCCAAACGAUGGUGUCUGGAGUGUCAUGUUGCAAGAGAACAAUAUCAAGCCUCGCCCAAAGUGUGCAGAAUUGGUGGAUGUGGUUGACCGUGAGCCCUUGAGACAUUCAAUUCUCGAGAGCCAAGCAUUGUCCAGGAGUGCAUCCCGCACCGAAGAAUUCUUUCUUGCCGAGAUCUGAAACACGAGAGGAGCGAUAUCCUUGGGUUUUUCGCCACUGAGCCAAGGGGAUAGCCAGAACCUUGCCAACAGACCGUUGCCCACAGUAAUUGUGGUGACGUCGUAGAAAAGCUCCAUGUCCUUGGCAUCCCAAGGCUUGCUCAAAUCGACCCAAGCUCUGUCCGGCUCCGUCCACUCGUACUUGCAGUGUGUUUGUUUCUCAUGCAAGUUGCAACUGUGAUAAUAAUCAUCAGGCUUCUUCGAAUUGUUCCGAGUCUGAUUUUGCUUAUAAGCUUUUAAAUAACUAAACGGGUGCAGGGAGCUCAAAUCCAUCUCUUUUGUUGUUUGCAUUCAUGCGAAUUCUGGAAUUUAUCUCUCAUCUCUCGCAGUUUAGGUGUGCAUUAUUCCCGUACGUGAAUGCCAAAAUGUCACCGAGGUGUCGGUGGACCUUGAUGCUGACGACGACUCUGCCAAGAGGUCGGUGUCCAGAUCUGUGAAUGAUCAGUACGCCGAUUGUCCCAUCCAAACGUGGUACGCGUUGCCAUGCAUGCUCGUUUUCAGGUCUUUGUCCAGAAUAUUCCGUACCAGGCACUUUGUUGCGAAAUUGAUGUGGUAAAUGUCAGAUCACGGACGCAUCGGAAACACAUGGGAUCAUCAUACUCCAAGACUCGUACUUCUUUGUUCCUUUGUUUUUUCUUGAAUUCCAAUUUCAUUGGUAUUGCUGUGCGCGGUCCCUUAGACAGGGUUCGUGAAAAAAUAGAAGAAAAUGGCCUGGUUAAUUAACGAAAAUCCAGAUGAAAAUUGUUAGAACACGACCAAAAGUGAGGGCACCUGCUGACCUGCAAAGUCAUCAUCAUCAUUUCUCAUUGAGCAAACAACUUCGACUUCACGGCGGACGACCCAUGAAGACCUCUCUAAACAAAUGGCACACGAGAACCAAGUCAGCCUAUGCCAAAUAGCCGGCCAAACGCGCCGAGGAUUAGGCAGCUCCGAGUUUGGUCGUAGACUCACAAAAGAAAGAAGCACGCCUUGCCCUAACAUAGCCACAUCUGCCCAUCAUCCCUCCGCAUCGGCCCACAAAGCUACAACUCCGACUUCACGCUGAAGUACACAUCGAAUGGUCGAUGUCAAAGGACUUCCUGUGACUCUGCUACUCAUGCCACCAUUAUUGUUCCCACACAAGUAGCAACUCCACCAGGAGCGAGGCAGCUACCCCGCUACCCGCACUCGCAUCAUCGGCCGGGAACCUGCCGACCGCAAUGACGUGCGCAUCCAACCUCAGGAAAGUAUGAAGGGGAUUGAUGACCUUCAAGGCGAUGCCCCCAAGGGGUUAGCGACGUGGGAAAUGACACCGUCAUCCAACUCACACCGGAGUCUUAGGCCUUGUACAAUACAAGGUGCUUCGUAAAAUAAACCAUGUUUCCUUGAGAAUUCGUGCUUACUCUAUAGGAGGGGUGCCUACUUAAUCGUCUACCCUCUACAAAUAAGCACGAGUGCUUAAAAAAAGUGAUUUAUUUCUCUAAGCACCUUGCAUUGCACCGUGAUGAAUUCCCCCUCUGACAGAGUCUGGAAAAGACCUCCGGAUUGGAUCGUCAAACAGAGAGGCGUGGCCCCAGAAAAAUUAGGGUUAAUAUUCCGAAGUAUUUUCAGUAGUAUAUAGAAGCGUAGGCGUUGAAAGGAAAUGGAUGGAAGAUCCAGGGGCCCCAUGCGGCCCCACCAUGUGUCCCUGGGCGUGUGGUGGGGGUUGUGCCCCCCGGGUUGCUUCUUGUGCCUCUAAAAGCUUCCCAACCAAAAAAAGCUUUUGGGAUUUUUUUAGAUCUUUUGGAGCCCCGUAAAAUUGUUUUUCCCGGAAGUCCAAAAAUAUGCAGAAAACAAUAAUUGACAUUGGGCAUAAUAGGUUAGUCCAGAAAAAUAAUAAAAAUUUAUGUCAAAAUUCAAAACUAUGCCAAAAUGAUAUAAAUAUAGCAUGAAACAAACAAAAAUUAAAGAUACAUUUGUGAUGUAUCACACGUGUCCCCUUGGACUUGAAGAACAUGCGGUUCUCAGCGAGAAGUUGCGGAUCGUCCUUGACGAGCUUCCCCACCUAGGUGACAUUAUAGCGCUUGGCUUUGCAGUGCUCCUUCUCCUUGGCUAGGGAGACUACCCUAAUGGGAAGCGUGAGGAAGUCCGCGAUCAGGGUGUCGGUGGGGAAGUUGAGCCUCACCCGUGUCCCGUAGUAGCGGAGCAUCACAUCGUCGUACGAGCGUGCCGCCUCCUCCCUGAUGACAAACGUGCCAAUCCAGGCAAAUUUGACAAAUUUGACCUAUAGUCGAAAUCAAAUCACAGAAUGAACUGUCCGUGAAACUAUUUCACGCGGUUGACCCUUGGUGCCUAACUCUCAAGCGCUGCACUAGUGCAACGCCCAGGAGCUAGGCGCUGCACUAGUGCAACGCCCAGGAGCCAGGCGCUACACUGUGUAGUGUGGCGCCUAGCUCUCAGGCGCUGCACGCUGACUUGGGCACAUAUGGGUGCGACGCUGGCCGUGUAGCGCCUAUCUGUGAGGCGUUGCACAGUAGGGUGUGGCGCCGGCGUGGCGGACGCUACACAAAAGGGUCAGGGGAGUGAAAUAGUUUCGCAACCAGUUCAUUCUGUGAAAUGAUUUCGUCCUGAGGUCAAAAUUAUCAAAUUUGCCGCCAAUCCACUAGCGCUUUCCCAUGUCCGGGUUGAGGAUCUCCGCCACCCACCCGCCCCACAACCACUGCCUCGUACGAUGGUACCUCAGCGGUGGCGAUGGCGGCUGCGACAUGCCCAAUGGCAGGGAGCUCGCAAGGAAGAACUAUAAAAAAGUAUAUAAAUUUUAAAAUCAAAUGAAAAAAAUUAGCACGACCAUUGCUAACAAUUGGACAGAUAUUGAGUGCCAGAAAUUUGACGAAACAUAGAUGAAUCUACCUUUCACCAAAAUGUUGGCACUUAUUUUGAACCCCUAAAAUGUUUGAAAACAUGCACAACACAAAUUCAUUGCGAGCAAUACAAGGUUGGCUCGGCUCAAUGGUCAAAAUAUCACAAUUCAUUUGUUGUCUGUAUUGAUAGUGUAUUUGCCGAAAAACUAAAGGUAAACAUGGUUCCACGCGCACCCAUGUGAAUAGUAAAUUCAAAAAAUUACUAGGAAAAUUUAGAAAAUUCUAAAAUUUUGGGGAAUAAAACUUGGUCGUCCAUUCUAUUCAUGUGUGAAGUUUCGUGAAGUAUUGACACCGGUGGUAUUCUUAGUGAAGAAAAUACAAUUUGAAGUUUACUAUUCACCAAACAUUGUUUUUUAAAUAUAAUUCCGAUUUUGUCAUUUUUGCCCAGAAUACCAAGGGUGUCAUUUAUUCAUGAAACUUCAUAUGUGAGUAUACCGGAUGACAAUGUAUGUUACAAUUUUUUUCUAGUAUUUUUUUUGAAUUUAGUAUUCAUAAAGGGUGCACAUGGAAUCGUGUUCAAAAAAUCUGCGUCCGUGUAUUCGCUAAUUGUCAAGUUUAUAUUUGUAAAAGUCAACAUAGUAGUGUAGGAAGAGAAAUGACAUCUGUUCUGAAAAAACAAUGAAUCCCCUGCUGUAGAUAAUUUGUAUGGACUAAAGUAGCAAUCAAUAAAAGCAUAGACAUUACUUUUGUGCUAUUAAUUAUUGUAUGAACAAGGUCUAAAAAUAUAUUAACUAAAGUGCCUAGUUUGAAAGAGUUGUUGAUAACCCUAUGUGGGAAUGAAUUCUAUUUUCAUCCUCGAAGUAGAGGUAAACCUUUAAAGUUAUGGUGUGCCCCUAUAGAUAUCAACACCCACAUCGAAUCACCACCAACCGAACACCGAAUUCCAUCAAGCGUAGACCUGUUUUGUUAGAAAUCACACCAUCGAUAUCUAUUCCAUCAAAGCAUAUCCUAGCAUUUGCUAGGUUCGAAAUAAUACUAAAAUUUAAUAAUAAUGUAUAAAUGAAUUCGUAGGCUUUGCGCUAGAAGUGGCCGGCGGUCAAAUUGUCAUCUCCGACACCGACGACGACAGGUGGCGCGGCGCACAUGCUAGGUUGGGUGGCAGCGGACAUGUUGCACGCGGUUCAUGUGAGGUGAAGGGAGGGGAGGGUGACGAAAGAGCAGGAGGGUGGUGAUGGCGACAAUCAGUGAGGGCACUGGGACGGUGAAAGGCGAUGGAAGGCAUUUGGCUAGCUACGUAUUUGUGGAAUUUGGCGAAGUCCCAUGUGUGGCCGAAUUGUUAAGGGUAAUGAAAAAUUUACGUAUUUGUGGAUGCCAUUUACACAAAAUUUACCCUAGGUUAUGUUUUGAACAACUUUUUUUCCUGGGGUAAAUUUAUCGUGGUGUUUGUACCUACGUUAUCAUGUCUGUGGUGCAUAUAUUACCAUGCCUUUUACACAGAAAGUUGAUGCGGUAUGUUUUCAACAUCUUUUUUCCCUUGGGCAAAGUUAAUGUGGUGUUUGUACAUAAUUUAUUAGCUCGUUGGUGCGUAUAUUAUCGUUCUAUUUACACAAUAGUCAGCAGGGUAUGUUUUCAACAACUUUUUCCCCUGGUCAAUGUUACCACGUUGUUGUACGUAAGUUACCAGUUCAACCUGCAUGUAUUAUCAUGCUAUUUACAUAGAAAGUUGUCAAUGGUAUGUUUUCAAUAACUUUUUUCCCUUGGGUCAAAGUUAUGCGGUGUUUUUAUGUAAGUUAUCAGGUUUGUAGUUCGUAUAUUACCAUUCUAUUUACACAGAAGUUAUUGGGGGUUUAUUUUCGAUAACUUUUUCCUAAGUCAAUAACUUUUCCAUUCCAGAUCUAGACAAAGCUGGCGGGGGGCUUGAACAACAGGGUGGUGGUGCUGGUCGGAUUGGGAGGAGCUAGAGCAAGAGAUCACCAUAGCUCCUUGUUUGGGCGCUCAGGAGGGAGGAGAUGAACUAGAAGAGAUGUAGGGGUAGGUCGAAGUGGUGGACUAGGGAGAGAGCUUCGGCGGGCAGAGCUCUAGUGGACGGUGCAAUAUGUGGCUUUGUGCCAGAGCAAAGAGGAAGGAGUGGCGUCGGAGCUCAAGCCAUGGUGGCCGUAGCAAUGUGCAUGUCAACUGUUAUGCUAGAUUGUGCACUGUUUUGUCUUGGAUCAUAGCAAUGUGCAUGUCAAUGGUUAUGUUGGAUUGUACACUGCUUUGUCUUGGAUCAUAGCAAUGUGCAUGUUAAUGAUUAUACUAGAUUUUGUAGUGCCUAUGUCUUUGCAUGUCCAUGACUGUGCAAUGCCUUUGUGUUAGAUCAUGCUAAUGUGCAAUGUCCAUGUUUAUGAUUCAAUUAUGUGUUGCCUAUGUCUUUGCAUUCCCAUGUUGUGCUUGAUUCCGCACUUACUUGAUUGAUUGUGCAAUGGUAUCCAUCAACUGGCUUCCAAGACAUGCUCCCGCCGAAUCGGUUGGCACUGAAGCCUGUAGUGCCGGGGAGGAGGGAGCUGGCGGCGGCGCCUCUACACACGCAUGGCCAUCGACCCAAGCUCGACUACAAGGCGAGAGAACCAGUGCCACACCGGUUUUAUGUCCAGAUGGACAUGGACGACAUGGCAAUGCUUAUCAUCUCGACGGCUUUCUAAAGGCUCCUCAAGACCUGGCCGAACACCUUGCUACCUCUUGAGCAUGCGUUGGUUUGCCCCUGAAGAGGAAAGGGUGAUGCAGCAAAGUAGCGUAAGUAUUUCCCUCAGUUUUUGAGAACCAAGGUAUCAAUCCAGUAGGAGACUACACGCAAGUCCCUCGUACCUGCACAAACAAUUAAGAACCUUGCAACCAACGCGAUAAAGGGGUUGUCAAUCCCUUCACGGCCACUUGCAAAAGUGAGAUCUGAUAAAGAUAAUAAGAUAAAUAUUUUUGGUAUUUUUGUUGUAUAGAUUAAAAAGUAAAGAUUCCAAAAUAAACGGCGGCAGAAAUAGCACAUUAGCGGGAGAUUAAUAUGAUGGAAAAUAGACCCGGGGGCCAUAGGUUUCACUAGUGGCUUCUCUCAAGAUGGCAAAUUCUACGGUGGGUGAACAAAUUACUGUCGAGCAAUUAAUAGAAAAGCGCAUAAUUAUGAGAAUAUCUAGGCAUGAUCAUGUAUAUAGGCAUCACGUCCGUGACAAGUAGACCACUACAAAAAAAAAAAGACACAUCCGUGACAUUUUGGGCCGAACGAUUUUUUUUCUAUCAUACUUAUGACACUUCUAUGAAGAUAAUUGUGACAAAACCCGGUAUCAUCAUAGAUGUGGUGGGGUCCUACUUCUAUGACAAAAAAUCAUGACAGAAAAUGGGCUUUUCGUUCUGGGCGGGCCGGAGACGCAGCUGCAUGACAUUCUUUGGGCCAUCCAUGACGGAAAAAACCGUGGUAGAAGCGAGG